Molecule: long non-coding RNA, 432 nt
Organism: Peromyscus maniculatus bairdii (prairie deer mouse)
Lineage: Eukaryota; Metazoa; Chordata; Mammalia; Rodentia; Cricetidae
Source: RefSeq, a predicted model, not a curated record
GCGGCUCGCUCGGCCUCCCUCGUCCCCCGGUGGCCCGCCCCCUCGGGCUCCCGCCAACUGGAGGGGCCUCGGCCUGGGACCCCGGCGCCCUCCCGCCCGCCUCUCGGCUCGGGUCUGCGCUCUGAAAACGGAGGGCGCGCCCUGUUGUUUCUGCAUCCCGUUAGGCGGAGGCGAGGGACCGGACCAAAAAGAGCACGCUGCUGUCCAACUAAUCCAACAAUGGCUGGCUGUGAAUGGAAAGUCCAAGAACGCUCUGUCCCAUGAGGCUGGGUGUCUCAGCUGCUCUUCUGGAGUCCCGGAGAAGGCUCCAGUGAGGGAAUGGAAGUCCGGACAACUCGAGGGCAAGCAGGCAAACCUUCCUUCCUCCAUUAUCCUUAUAUAGGCUUCCAGCAGAAGGUGUGGCCCAGAUUAAAGGUGUGCUUUCCAACUCAA